AAUGCUUGGGAAUAUGCCUUUAGGUGGGGGACGACAGUUGGAAACGACUGCUAAUACCGCAUAACGUGCUUUUUGCGGUGAAAAGUACCAAAGGGGGGGCUCUUCGGACCUCUUGCCUAAAGAUUAGCCCAAGUGAGAUUAGCUAGUUGGUGAGGUAAUGGCUCACCAAGGCGACGAUCUCUAGCUGGUUUGAGAGGAUGAUCAGCCACACUGGGACUGAGACACGGCCCAG
RNAcentral lists this ribosomal RNA (232 nucleotides) under uncultured bacterium. RNAcentral's name for it is "partial 16S ribosomal RNA". It matches the Rfam family "Bacterial small subunit ribosomal RNA", at positions 112 to 334 of the family's 1533-position model. The record is from RNAcentral.